AUGGAGUGUGCCGAGCAAAUACUUAUUUUGAGUUGGGGUCAUUUCGCUGAAAUAGUGGACCUACCCGCACCAUCGCGCGCGUCUGAGAUUCAACUUUCAAGUACAGAAUCAAUCACUUCACAGCGGAGAAAGGAUGAAAAUUCAGAAGAAUGUCAUCAGUGUCGGAACAACACUGCAAGACAUGUGGACUGCUCAAGCUGCAAGAAGAGAUAUUGUGUCCGAUGCAUUAAGAAAUGGUAUUCAAAUUUAAUUGAAGAUCAUGUUAAGAAUAGAUGCCCAUGUUGUCACAAUAAUUGCAAUUGCAUGGAUUGUCUGCAGAGUGAUAUAAUGCAUAAGAUUGACAAAUGGAAUGUAUCACAUGAAGAUAGAAUCAAAUUUGCUCAUCGAACUAUAUACUUUUUGCUUCCUUGGUUGAAAAAACUUCACGAGGACCAGAUACAAGAGAAACGUAUUCAGGCCAUAAUUGACGUUAUAAAGUAUGAGGUGAAUAAGAAAACCUUUUCUUAUAUUAGUUUUCCAAUCUGUAAAACAUGCCACAACUAUUGCAGGACAUGUAUUGUUGACCUCUAUAGAGGUUGCGAAUGUGGACAUUAUGAUCUCUGCCUCAGCUGCUGCCAGGAGCUUCGUGAUGGUUCUCUGGUUAAAAAGGAUAAGAAAUUGAGGGCAAAACCGAAUGGGAGUAUACUUUGCCCACCAAAGGCAGCAGGUGGUUGUCGUUGUAGAGGUCAUGCUCUUAAACUUAAGGGUAUUUUCAAAGAAAAUUUUAUUUCUGACUUACUGGAGAAAACCAAUUCAGUGGUUGACAAAAGAAUGCUAGAAGAGGGAGGUUCAAAAUGUUUUUGCCUUACCAAAUCUGGUGAGAUAAACACCAAUACAUCACGACAAGCAGCCUGUAGAAAGAACCCCAUCGAUAACUACAUAUACUGCCCAACUGCUAAAGAUGUUCAAAGUGGUGCUUUAGAACAUUUCCAGGAGCACUGGUUAAAGGGUGAGCCUGUUAUUGUCUGUGAUGUGCUUGGGUCAACUUCUGGACUGAGUUGGGAACCAACGGUAAUGCAUCGGGGCUUGCGAAAGAAGAAAAACAAGAAUGGGGAUCAGCGGCUCACAGUUGAAGCUAUUGAAUGCCUGACGGGGUGUGAGGUUGGUAUAAAUAUUUGUCGCUUUUUUGAGGGGUAUUCCUAUGGAGCCGUUGGUCCUGAAGAUUUGCCCAUUGGACUUAAGCUUAAAGAUUGGCCGCCCCAUAGCACCUUUGGAGAGGAACUCCCGCGGCACGAUGCUGAGUUUAGAUCUGCAUUGCCAUUUCGUGAAUAUACCGAUCCGAUAUGUGGCCCUCUUAAUCUGGCUGUGAGACUUCCAAAAGAUGUUAAAAAGCCAGACCUUGGUCCAAAGACUUACAUUGCUUAUGGGUUUGCCCAAGAACUGGGAAUUGGUGACUCUCUUACAUAUCUUCAUUGUGACGUUGCCGACGCGGUAAAUGUCCUCGUACAUACUCAUGGAACAAAGCUCAAACUUCAAAGGCUUACAGCUAUAGAGAAAAGGAAAGACAGUUUGCUCAAUGAAGAAAGGACUAGAAAUCUUCAAGCUUCACCAGAUCAUAGUGAUGUAGGAAUUAAGGUGGACGUUAGUCUCAUAAAGCCUGAGCCAAAAGACGAUGGUCUGCCUUUCGUAGAGGGAGACCAGCCAGAGGGUGGUGCUCUGUGGGAUAUAUUCCGACGGGAAGAUGUUGGCAUUCUAGAGGAAUAUCUAACAGCGCAUGCUGGGGAGUUUAGGAACAAUUCUGAACUGGUGAAACAGGUUACUGAUCCGAUACAUGAUCAUUGCUUUUAUCUAACAAAAGAGCACAAGAGAAAGCUUAAGGAACAAUAUGGAGUUGAGCCUUGGACAUUUGAACAAAAACUUGGUGAGGCGGUCUUUAUCCCCACGGGAUGUCCCCACCAAGUCAGAAAUUUGAAGUCAUGUACAAAGGUUGCGCUGGAUUUUGUUUCUCCGGAAAAUUUUGAAGAGUGUAUCAAGUAUACAAACAAAAUUCGUGAGCUCCCGAACAACCAUAUGGUGAAUGAAGAUAAAUUAGAGGUUAAGAAGAUAGCUAUUCAUGCACUCAGACAUGCCGUUGAUUACAUCAUUGGAUGA
This 2130-nucleotide ribosomal RNA is filed under the name Triticum aestivum (bread wheat). Its description in RNAcentral is "partial small subunit ribosomal RNA". The record is from RNAcentral. Lineage: Eukaryota; Viridiplantae; Streptophyta; Magnoliopsida; Poales; Poaceae.